This 1489-nucleotide ribosomal RNA is filed under the name Lactiplantibacillus plantarum. RNAcentral describes it as "bacterial SSU rRNA". It matches the Rfam family "Bacterial small subunit ribosomal RNA". Lineage: Bacteria; Bacillati; Bacillota; Bacilli; Lactobacillales; Lactobacillaceae. The record is from RNAcentral.
GACGAACGCUGGCGGCGUGCCUAAUACAUGCAAGUCGAACGAACUCUGGUAUUGAUUGGUGCUUGCAUCAUGAUUUACAUUUGAGUGAGUGGCGAACUGGUGAGUAACACGUGGGAAACCUGCCCAGAAGCGGGGGAUAACACCUGGAAACAGAUGCUAAUACCGCAUAACAACUUGGACCGCAUGGUCCGAGUUUGAAAGAUGGCUUCGGCUAUCACUCUUGGAUGGUCCCGCGGCGUAUUAGCUAGAUGGUGGGGUAACGGCUCACCAUGGCAAUGAUACGUAGCCGACCUGAGAGGGUAAUCGGCCACAUUGGGACUGAGACACGGCCCAAACUCCUACGGGAGGCAGCAGUAGGGAAUCUUCCACAAUGGACGAAAGUCUGAUGGAGCAACGCCGCGUGAGUGAAGAAGGGUUUCGGCUCGUAAAACUCUGUUGUUAAAGAAGAACAUAUCUGAGAGUAACUGUUCAGGUAUUGACGGUAUUUAACCAGAAAGCCACGGCUAACUACGUGCCAGCAGCCGCGGUAAUACGUAGGUGGCAAGCGUUGUCCGGAUUUAUUGGGCGUAAAGCGAGCGCAGGCGGUUUUUUAAGUCUGAUGUGAAAGCCUUCGGCUCAACCGAAGAAGUGCAUCGGAAACUGGGAAACUUGAGUGCAGAAGAGGACAGUGGAACUCCAUGUGUAGCGGUGAAAUGCGUAGAUAUAUGGAAGAACACCAGUGGCGAAGGCGGCUGUCUGGUCUGUAACUGACGCUGAGGCUCGAAAGUAUGGGUAGCAAACAGGAUUAGAUACCCUGGUAGUCCAUACCGUAAACGAUGAAUGCUAAGUGUUGGAGGGUUUCCGCCCUUCAGUGCUGCAGCUAACGCAUUAAGCAUUCCGCCUGGGGAGUACGGCCGCAAGGCUGAAACUCAAAGGAAUUGACGGGGGCCCGCACAAGCGGUGGAGCAUGUGGUUUAAUUCGAAGCUACGCGAAGAACCUUACCAGGUCUUGACAUACUAUGCAAAUCUAAGAGAUUAGACGUUCCCUUCGGGGACAUGGAUACAGGUGGUGCAUGGUUGUCGUCAGCUCGUGUCGUGAGAUGUUGGGUUAAGUCCCGCAACGAGCGCAACCCUUAUUAUCAGUUGCCAGCAUUAAGUUGGGCACUCUGGUGAGACUGCCGGUGACAAACCGGAGGAAGGUGGGGAUGACGUCAAAUCAUCAUGCCCCUUAUGACCUGGGCUACACACGUGCUACAAUGGAUGGUACAACGAGUUGCGAACUCGCGAGAGUAAGCUAAUCUCUUAAAGCCAUUCUCAGUUCGGAUUGUAGGCUGCAACUCGCCUACAUGAAGUCGGAAUCGCUAGUAAUCGCGGAUCAGCAUGCCGCGGUGAAUACGUUCCCGGGCCUUGUACACACCGCCCGUCACACCAUGAGAGUUUGUAACACCCAAAGUCGGUGGGGUAACCUUUUAGGAACCAGCCGCCUAAGGUGGGACAGAUGAUUAGGGUG